Eptesicus fuscus (big brown bat) is the source of this 484-nucleotide long non-coding RNA. RefSeq lists it as uncharacterized. The transcript is spliced from 4 exons. The record is from RefSeq and is a predicted model, not a curated record. Lineage: Eukaryota; Metazoa; Chordata; Mammalia; Chiroptera; Vespertilionidae.
AACAGGUCCAAUACGUUCUGUGGCGGUAGCAAUGAUUAACAAAAUAUUGGGAAGUUUAGUAAGCAAGCACACCAAGAGCCUCAUCUCACCGAGUCCUUCAAUAGCCCUAUUCAGUGAGCAUUACGACUAUCUACAAAUGACUAACACAAAGAAAAUGCUUGGAGGCAAAGGAACGGGCUCAGCAUGUCAAAGAAAACUCUGUUUUGAAAAUAAAUUCUUGCCAGGAAUAUGUGACCAUAAAGUACGGAAAUCACCUGACUUAAAAAGAUGUGGGUCAUCACACGUGCGGGGAGAGGAAGACACGGGGUGAUUACUUCCCGUGUUCUCCUAGCAUUUGGACAGAAUCUGCUUCUCUCCUUACAUCUCCUCUUCACUUAAGAAUUCUUCCAACGCCCGCCCUCAGCCCAUAACGUUGACGAUCAAAACAAGGUGCUGAGAAAGAUGGAGGGACGUCCACCUCUAGGCAGGACGAGGGUCACAGGAG